GACGAACGCUGGCGGCGUGCUUAACACAUGCAAGUCGAACGGAAAGGCCCUGCUUUUGUGGGGUGCUCGAGUGGCGAACGGGUGAGUAACACGUGAGUAACCUGCCCUUGACUUUGGGAUAACUUCAGGAAACUGGGGCUAAUACCGGAUAGGAGCUCCUGCUGCAUGGUGGGGGUUGGAAAGUUUCGGCGGUUGGGGAUGGACUCGCGGCUUAUCAGCUUGUUGGUGGGGUAGUGGCUUACCAAGGCUUUGACGGGUAGCCGGCCUGAGAGGGUGACCGGCCACAUUGGGACGGAGAUACGGCACAGACUCCUACGGGAGGCAGCAGUGGGGAAUAUUGCACAAUGGGCGGAAGCCUGACGCAGCCACGCAGCGUGGGGGAUGACGGCCUUCGGGUUGUAAACCGCUUUCGCCUGUGACGAGGCGUGAGUGACGGUAAUGGGUAAAGAAGCACCGGCUAACUACGUG
RNAcentral lists this ribosomal RNA (468 nucleotides) under uncultured bacterium. RNAcentral's name for it is "partial 16S ribosomal RNA". It matches the Rfam family "Bacterial small subunit ribosomal RNA", at positions 28 to 507 of the family's 1533-position model. The record is from RNAcentral.